AAAAUGCAACUCUAUUUAUCCACAUCUAUGCAUUUUUUAUUUUUACUUUUUGCUUUGCUGAAAAUGGUAAUCACAAAAAACAUAAAUCAAAAUAUCAAAUCAUUAUGCAGGUUAGUUUCUAAACCCCUUGAAUACAAAGAUCCUACUCCUUCUCCAAAAUUUGAAUUCCCUAUGUUUGAGAUCGAGGAAAAAAGUGAUGAUGAAGUGUCUGAUGAAUUGUCUCCUCUACUUGAGCACGAGAAAAAAACCAUUCAGUCGUUUGAAGAGCAGAUUGAGU
This 277-nucleotide long non-coding RNA is filed under the name Lathyrus oleraceus (garden pea). RNAcentral's name for it is "Pisum sativum (pea) long non-coding RNA (PSAT_LNC020612)". Lineage: Eukaryota; Viridiplantae; Streptophyta; Magnoliopsida; Fabales; Fabaceae. The record is from RNAcentral.